Molecule: long non-coding RNA, 256 nt
Filed under: Mus pahari (shrew mouse)
Lineage: Eukaryota; Metazoa; Chordata; Mammalia; Rodentia; Muridae
Description: predicted gene 29434 (MGP_PahariEiJ_G0003762.1)
Source: RNAcentral
AGUGCAAGAGAGAAGAGGCAUGCAUGUCCGCAGCAGCUUCUGUCAGCUCCUGGAAGCGGGCUCCCUGAAGACUGCAGCCCCUGCAGCCCCCACCGCAAGUUGGAUCCCGGAUCUGCACAUCGGGAGCCUUUGGAGCCGGUUCUGCUGCAGGCGAUUAUGCAAAGUGACAAGUGAUUGCUUUCCUUUUCAAAGACAACCCCUUUGGAAAAAGCUUUUUCCUUUGAAGACUCCAGGGAAAUGGGGGAUGGGUGGGAAC